UUCGGCCGGGAAGAAAUCGCACGGGCUAAUACCCUGUGUGGAUGACGGUACCGGAAUAAGAAGCACCGGCUAACUACGUGCCAGCAGCCGCGGUAAUACGUAGGGUGCGAGCGUUAAUCGGAAUUACUGGGCGUAAAGCGUGCGCAGGCGGUUUAGUAAGACAGGCGUGAAAUCCCCGGGCUCAACCUGGGAACUGCGCUUGUGACUGCUAAGCUAGAGUACGGCAGAGGGGGGUGGAAUUCCACGUGUAGCAGUGAAAUGCGUAGAGAUGUGGAGGAACACCGAUGGCGAAGGCAGCCCCCUGGGCCGAUACUGACGCUCAUGCACGAAAGCGUGGGUAGCAAACAGGAUUAGAUACCCUGGUAGUCCACGCCCUAAACGAUGUCAACUAGGUGUUGGGUGGGUAAAACCAUUUAGUACCGGAGCUAACGCGUGAAGUUGACCGCCUGGGGAGUACGGCCGCAAGGUUAAAACUCAAAGGAAUUGACGGGGACCCGCACAAGCGGUGGAUGAUGUGGAUUAAUUCGAUGCAACGCGAAAAACCUUACCUACCCUUGACAUGUCCAGAAGCUCUUAGAGAUUUGAGUGUGCCCGAAAGGGAGCUGGAACACAGGUGCUGCAUGGCUGUCGUCAGCUCGUGUCGUGAGAUGUUGGGUUAAGUCCCGCAACGAGCGCAACCCUUGUCGUUAAUUGCCAUCAUUUAGUUGGGCACUUUAACGAGACUGCCGGUGACAAACCGGAGGAAGGUGGGGAUGACGUCAGGUCCUCAUGGCCCUUAUGGGUAGGGCUUCACACGUCAUACAAUGGUCGGUACAGAGGGUUGCCAAGCCGCGAGGUGGAGCCAAUCCCAGAAAGCCGAUCGUAGUCCGGAUCGUAGGCUGCAACUCGCCUGCGUGAAGUCGGAAUCGCUAGUAAUCGCGGAUCAGCAUGUCGCGGUGAAUACGUUCCCGGGUCUUGUACACACCGCCCGUCACACCAUGGGAGCGGGUUCCGCCAGAAGUAGGUAGCCUAACCGCAAGGAGGGCGCUUACCACGGCGGGGUUCGUGACUGGGGUGAAGUCGUAACAAGGUAGCCGU
RNAcentral lists this ribosomal RNA (1077 nucleotides) under uncultured bacterium. RNAcentral describes it as "bacterial SSU rRNA". It matches the Rfam family "Bacterial small subunit ribosomal RNA", at positions 434 to 1503 of the family's 1533-position model. The record is from RNAcentral.